GAUGAACGCUGGCGGCGUGCUUAACACAUGCAAGUCGAACGAAGCACCUCUCCCUAUGUUUGACACUGCUUUCUGUAGCUUGAUUCAUUUGAGGUGACUGAGUGCCCUUCGCUUUAGUAACGCUUCGGUAACCUGCGUCUUAUACGGGGACGACAGUUGGACUCCACUGCUAGUAUCGCAUAGUAAGAAGAGUUCGCAUUUUUUCUUCUUGUUAGCUUGUUCGUGAUGAGAUGGACCCUCGUCUGAUUAUUUACUUGGUACGGUAAUGGCUUACCAAGGCGGCGAACAGGAGCCGGCUGGAGAGAGGGAACGGCCACAAUGGGACUGAGACACGGCCCAAUCUCCGACGGGAGGCAGCAGUGGGGAAUAUUGCACAAGGGGGGAAACCGUGAUGAAGCGACGCCGGGGGAGUGAAGAAGUAGUUCGGUAUGUAAAGCUCUAUCAGCAGGGAAGAGAAUGACGGUACCGGACUAAGAAGCCCCGGCUAACUACGUG
RNAcentral lists this ribosomal RNA (495 nucleotides) under uncultured bacterium. Its description in RNAcentral is "partial 16S ribosomal RNA". It matches the Rfam family "Bacterial small subunit ribosomal RNA", at positions 28 to 507 of the family's 1533-position model. The record is from RNAcentral.